GAUGAACGCUGGCGGCGUGCCUAAUACAUGCAAGUCGAGCGAACGGACGAGAAGCUUGCUUUUCUGAUGUUAGCGGCGGACGGGUGAGUAACACGUGGAUAACCUACCUAUAAGACUGGGAUAACUUCGGGAAGCCGGAGCUAAUACCGGAUAAUAUUUUGAACCGCAUGGUUCAAAAGUGAAAGACGGUCUUGCUGUCACUUAUAGAUGGAUCCGCGCUGCAUUAGCUAGUUGGUAAGGUAACGGCUUACCAAGGCAACGAUGCAUAGCCGACCUGAGAGGGUGAUCGGCCACACUGGAACUGAGACACGGUCCAGACUCCUACGGGAGGCAGCAGCAGGGAAUCUUCCGCAAUGGGCGAAAGCCUGACGGAGCAACGCCGCGUGAGUGAUGAAGGUCUUCGGAUCGUAAAACUCUGUUAUUAGGGAAGAACAUAUGUGUAAGUAACUGUGCACAUCUUGACGGUACCUAAUCAGAAAGCCACGGCUAACUACGUG
This 497-nucleotide ribosomal RNA is filed under the name uncultured bacterium. RNAcentral describes it as "partial 16S ribosomal RNA". It matches the Rfam family "Bacterial small subunit ribosomal RNA", at positions 28 to 507 of the family's 1533-position model. The record is from RNAcentral.